AUUACCCUGCUAUGUACGUGGACUCCUUGAAGUUUUGAGCCAACACCUAUACAAAGGGAGCCCGGCCUCUGGCUGUGGCUUGUAUGCCUCACACGAGAGAGGACACAAAAAGCAGCCAGGAGGGCACCCACCUUGUGAGACCGGGUUCAAGAAACUUGAGGGUUCACGGCAUUAGUGGGGUUUUU
Molecule: non-coding RNA, 185 nt
Filed under: Desulfofundulus luciae
Lineage: Bacteria; Bacillati; Bacillota; Clostridia; Eubacteriales; Peptococcaceae
Description: 6S / SsrS RNA
Rfam family: 6S / SsrS RNA
About the family: E. coli 6S RNA was the first non coding RNA to be sequenced, but its function was unknown until recently. It consists of 184 nucleotides that fold into an extended hairpin structure with a large single-stranded internal bulge. The 6S RNA specifically associates with RNA polymerase holoenzyme containing the sigma70 specificity factor.
Source: RNAcentral